Molecule: ribosomal RNA, 253 nt
Filed under: uncultured bacterium
Lineage: Bacteria
Description: partial 16S ribosomal RNA
Rfam family: Bacterial small subunit ribosomal RNA
Source: RNAcentral
GACGAACCGUACGAACGUUAUUCGGAAUCACUGGGCUUAAAGGGUGCGUAGGCGGCGCUAAAAGUUGGGUGUGAAAUCCCUCGGCUUAACCGAGGAACUGCGCCCAAAACUGUAGUGCUUGAGGGAGAUAGAGGUGAGCGGAACUUAGGGUGGAGCGGUGAAAUGCGUUGAUAUCCUAAGGAACGCCAGGGGCGAAAGCGGCUCACUGGGUCUCUUCUGACGCUGAGGCACGAAAGCUAGGGUAGCGAACGGG